GACGAACGCUGGCGGCGUGCUUAACACAUGCAAGUCGAACGGAAAGGCCCUGCUUUUGUGGGGUGCUCGAGUGGCGAACGGGUGAGUAACACGUGAGUAACCUGCCCUUGACUUUGGGAUAACUUCAGGAAACUGGGGCUAAUACCGGAUAGGAGCUCCUGCUGCAUGGUGGGGGUUGGAAAGUUUCGGCGGUUGGGGAUGGACUCGCGGCUUAUCAGCUUGUUGGUGGGGUAGUGGCUUACCAAGGCUUUGACGGGUAGCCGGCCUGAGAGGGUGACCGGCCAAAUUGGGACUGAGAUACGGCCCAGACCCCUACGGGGGGAAGCAGUGGGGAAUAUUGCAAAAUGGGCGGAAGCCUGAUGCAGCAACGCCGGGUGGGGGAUGGCGGCCUUCGGGUUGUAAACCGCUUUCGCCUGUGACGAAGGGGGAGGGACGGUAAUGGGUAAAGAAGCCCCGGCAAACUACGU
Molecule: ribosomal RNA, 467 nt
Filed under: uncultured bacterium
Lineage: Bacteria
Description: partial 16S ribosomal RNA
Rfam family: Bacterial small subunit ribosomal RNA
Source: RNAcentral